GAACAUUUUCAUCCCUCCCAGAAGAAACACACGUCUGUCAGCAGUCAUUCCAUUUCCCCCUCCCUGCAGCCCCUCGCAACCACUAAUCUACUUCCUGUGGAUUUGCCUCUUCCGACCAUUUCAUGACGCCGUGUUCCUGGCGAUGCGGCUGCCUCCUGGAGCUCAAGAGCUGGCGCAAGAAAUGGCAGGGACGGAAACAGCGUUGAUUCAGCCAGAGUGCGGUGAGGUCGUGGAAGAGAGGCACCAAAUGAGGGGCUCUGCGUCCGGAAGAGAGGGAGAACCAUAGUAAUCCCCAGAUGAACAGAAGAUCUUUGGGGAAGGAAGAGGGGAGAAAAAUCCACGCUGAAACCAUCAGAUGUCCGUGGUAACUGCACGGUGGUUUGGCCUGGCUGCAGCAUCUGCUCCCCAGACUGUAGUGGCACUUUACAGUGUUAUCCUGUGUUCUCUACAGUUCAUAAUGCUUCAUAAGUAGCACAGAUACAUUUCUACAUCAGUUCCCACAGUGGGUGACUAAUAAACUAAAUAUGACUCUACUCUUCACAAAACUGUUUAGUGAGAAAGAACUUGAGAACAGAGACUUUGAUUUGGAUGCUGAAAAUGUAAGUUGCCUCAUGUAUGGCUUUUGCCUCAGUGAACAAUGUUUUCUUG
Long non-coding RNA from Equus quagga, 648 nucleotides. RefSeq lists it as uncharacterized. Lineage: Eukaryota; Metazoa; Chordata; Mammalia; Perissodactyla; Equidae. The record is from RefSeq and is a predicted model, not a curated record. The transcript is spliced from 3 exons.